ACUUUGCCGGAUUAGCUGAGAGGUGGUGCAUGGCCGUCGUCAGUUCGUACUGUGAAGCAUCCUGUUAAGUCAGGCAACGAGCGAGACCCACGCCCACAGUUGCCAGCGUACUCUCUGGAGUGACGGGUACACUGUGGGGACCGCCGCUGCUAAAGCGGAGGAAGAAUGGGCAACGGUAGGUCAGUACGCCCCGAAUAUCCCGGGCUACACGCGAGCUACAAUGGUUGGUACAAUGGGUAUCUACCCCGAAAGGGGACGGGAAUCUCCUAAAACCAAUCUUAGUUCGGAUUGAGGGCUGCAACUCGCCCUCAUGAAGCUGGAAUCCGUAGUAAUCGCGUUUCAACAGAACGCGGUGAAUACGUCCCUGCUCCUU
Molecule: ribosomal RNA, 373 nt
Filed under: uncultured Methanosaeta sp.
Lineage: Archaea; Methanobacteriati; Methanobacteriota; Methanomicrobia; Methanotrichales; Methanotrichaceae
Description: bacterial SSU rRNA
Rfam family: Archaeal small subunit ribosomal RNA
Source: RNAcentral